UGAUGACGAGACGCUAAGGCGUUGAAGUGGUGUAUGUCAGACUUCCAAGAAAAGCUCGCAAUGUCAUAGAUAAAAAAUGCCUGUACCAUAACCGACACAGGUGGGUAGGUAGAGUAUACUAAGGGGCGCGAGAUAACUCUCUCUAAGGAACUCGGCAAAAUGACUCCGUAACUUCGGGAGAAGGAGUGCCUUAUUUAUAAGGUUGCAAUAACAAGAUCCAAGCAACUGUUUAUCAAAAACACAGGUCUCCGCUAAGUCGUAAGACGAUGUAUGGGGGCUGACGCCUGCCCAGUGCCAGAAGGUUAAAGAAGUUGGUUAGUGUAAGCGAAGCUGAUAACUGAAGCCCUGGUGAACGGCGGCCGUAACGAUAACGGUCCUAAGGUAGCGAAAUUCCUUGUCGGGUAAGUUCCGACCCGCACGAAAGGCGUAAUGAUUUGGAUACUGUCUCGGAGAGAGGCUCGGUGAAAUAGACUUGUCUGUGAAGAUGCGGACUACCUGCACCAGGACAGAAAGACCCUAUGAAGCUUUACUGUAACUUGAAAUUGGAAUUGGACUUUGCUUGCGCAGUAUAGGUGGGAAGCGUUGAAGAUACUCUUGCGGGACUAUUGGAGCUAUCAGUGAGAUACCACUCUUGUAAUGUUAGAUUUCUAACUUUGAACCAUAAUCUGGUCAAAGAACAGUUUCAGGCGGGCAGUUUGACUGGGGCGGUCGCCUCCUAAAUGGUAACGGAGGCGUACAAAGGUUUCCUCUGAACGGAUAGAAAUCGUAUCUAGAGUGUAAAGGCAUAAGGAAGCUUGACUGUGAGACCUACAAGUCGAGCAGGGACGAAAGUCGGUCUUAGUGAUCUGACGGUACUGAGUGAAAGGCCGUCACUCAACGGAUAAAAGUUACUCUAGGAUAACAGGCUGAUCUCCCCCAAGAGUUCACAUCGACGGGGAGGUUUGGCACCUCGAUGUCGGCUCAUCGCAUCCUGGGGCGGUAGUACGUCCCAAGGGUUGGGCUGUUCGCCCAUGAAAGCGGUACGCGAGCUGGGUUCAGAACGUCGUGAGACAGUUCGGUCCAUAUCCGGUGUAGGCGUUAGAAUAUUGAGAGGAGCCUUCUUUAGUACGAGAGGACCGAGAAGGACACACCGCUGGUGUACCAGUUAUCGUGCCAACGGUAAACGCUGGGUAGCUAUGUGUGGAGAGGAUAACCGCUGAAAGCAUCUAAGUGGGAAGCCCACCUCAAGAUGAGUAUUCUCAUC
RNAcentral lists this ribosomal RNA (1243 nucleotides) under metagenome. Its description in RNAcentral is "bacterial LSU rRNA". It matches the Rfam family "Bacterial large subunit ribosomal RNA", at positions 1564 to 2818 of the family's 2925-position model. The record is from RNAcentral.